This is a long non-coding RNA of Populus trichocarpa (black cottonwood), 356 nucleotides long. RefSeq lists it as uncharacterized. The record is from RefSeq and is a predicted model, not a curated record. NCBI's taxonomy places the organism in Eukaryota, Viridiplantae, Streptophyta, Magnoliopsida, Malpighiales, Salicaceae. The transcript is spliced from 2 exons.
UUUUUUAAAAAAAAAGAUCAUGUUUGCUCUUUGGUGAACCCGCAAAUUCGCUGCGGUGAUGGUAAAUCGGUGACUGCCACUGUUCCUCCUGAACUACGUACAACAAUGAUGAAUGUGACAGUGAAAUUUAUUCUGAGAAUUAGGUGAAUUCACCGGGACAAAUGGAAGAUAAUUCCUGGCAAGCCUUUGUUUUUUACACCCAAGGGACUACUGGUAUAUCGCAGACGUGCGUCCCUCCUCUCGCUUAUCUGCCAAGGCAUGAUAUCAAAUUGGCUGUUGACUGUUGGAGGUAGCUUUCUACGUGCAAUAUGACAUUGGCUUUAUGGUGCAUAUUCACUAUAAUAAAUUGAAUUUCA